RNAcentral lists this ribosomal RNA (459 nucleotides) under uncultured bacterium. RNAcentral's name for it is "partial 16S ribosomal RNA". It matches the Rfam family "Bacterial small subunit ribosomal RNA", at positions 338 to 795 of the family's 1533-position model. The record is from RNAcentral.
GCUACGGGUGGCAGCAGUGAGGAAUAUUGGUCAAUGGCCGCAGGGCUGAACCAGCCAAGUCGCGUGAGGGAUGACGGUCCUAUGGAUUGUAAACCUCUUUUGUCAGGGCGCAAAGGGCGCCACGUGUGGCGCUUUGCGAGUACCUGAAGAACAAGCAUCGGCUAACUCCGUGCCAGCAGCCGCGGUACUACGGGGGAUGCGCGCGUUAUCCGGAUUUAUUGGGUUUAAAGGUUGCGCAGGCGGAAUGUCAAGUCAGCGGUAAAAUUUCUGGGCUCAAACCCGUCGUGCCGUUGAACCUGGGGUUGUUGAGGGAGCGAGAAGUAUGCGGAAUGCGUGGUGUAGCGGUGAAAUGCAUAGAUAUCACGCAGAACGCCGAUUGCGAAGGCAGCAUACCGGCGCUCAACUGACGCUCAUGCACGAAAGCGUGGGUAUCGAAAAGGAUUAGAUACCCCAGUAGUC